This 253-nucleotide ribosomal RNA is filed under the name uncultured bacterium. RNAcentral's name for it is "partial 16S ribosomal RNA". It matches the Rfam family "Bacterial small subunit ribosomal RNA", at positions 524 to 776 of the family's 1533-position model. RNAcentral also lists the same sequence under 1 other name. The record is from RNAcentral.
UACGAAGGAUGCAAGCGUUAUCCGGAUUUAUUGGGUUUAAAGGGUGCGUAGGCGGACUUAUAAGUCAGUGGUGAAAUCUCGUUGCUUAACAACGAACGUGCCAUUGAUACUGUAGGUCUUGAGUACAGAUGCCGUUGGCGGAAUGUGUCAUGUAGCGGUGAAAUGCAUAGAUAUGACACAGAACACCGAUUGCGAAGGCAGCUGACGAAACUGUAACUGACGCUGAGGCACGAAAGCGUGGGGAUCAAACAGG